AAUCCGGUUGAUCCUGCCGGACCUGACUGCUAUCGGAUUGAUACUAAGCCAUGCGAGUCAUUGUAGUAAUACAAGGCAGACGGCUCAGUAACGCGUAGUCAACCUAACCUAUGGACGGGAAUAACCUCGGGAAACUGAGUAUAAUGCCCGAUAGAACAUUAUGCCUGGAAUGGUUUAUGUUCCAAAUGAUUUAUCGCCGUAGGAUGGGACUGCGGCCUAUCAGUUUGUUGGUGAGGUAAUGGCCCACCAAGACUAUUACAGGUACGGGCUCUGAGAGGAGUAGCCCGGAGAUGGGUACUGAGACACGGACCCAGGCCCUAUGGGGCGCAGCAGGCGAGAAAACUUUGCAAUGUGCGAAAGCACGACAAGGUUAAUCCGAGUGGUUUGUGCUAAACGAACCUUUUGUUAGUCCUAGAAACACUAACGAAUAAGGGGUGGGCAAGUUCUGGUGUCAGCCGCCGCGGUAAAACCAGCACCUCAAGUGGUCAGGAUGAUUAUUGGGCCUAAAGCAUCCGUAGCCGGUCCUGUAAGUUUUCGGUUAAAUCUGUACGCUUAACGUACAGGCUGCCGGGAAUACUGCAGAGCUAGGGAGUGGGAGAGGUAGACGGUACUCGGUAGGAAGGGGUAAAAUCCUUUGAUCUAUCGAUGACCACCUGUGGCGAAGGCGGUCUACCAGAACACGUUCGACGGUGAGGGAUGAAAGCUGGGGGAGCAAACCGGAUUAGAUACCCGGGUAGUCCCAGCCGUAAACUAUGCAAACUCAGUGAUGCAUUGACUUGUGGUCAAUGCAGUGCUGCAGGGAAGCCGUUAAGUUUGCCGCCUGGGAAGUACGUACGCAAGUAUGAAACUUAAAGGAAUUGGCGGGGGA
RNAcentral lists this ribosomal RNA (868 nucleotides) under Candidatus Nitrosopumilus sp. RNAcentral describes it as "bacterial SSU rRNA". It matches the Rfam family "Archaeal small subunit ribosomal RNA", at positions 1 to 875 of the family's 1478-position model. The record is from RNAcentral. Lineage: Archaea; Thermoproteati; Nitrososphaerota; Nitrososphaeria; Nitrosopumilales; Nitrosopumilaceae.